Molecule: transfer RNA, 76 nt
Filed under: Reyranella sp.
Lineage: Bacteria; Pseudomonadati; Pseudomonadota; Alphaproteobacteria; Hyphomicrobiales; Reyranellaceae
Also listed under: 1 other name
Description: tRNA-Trp
Rfam family: tRNA
About the family: Transfer RNA (tRNA) molecules are approximately 80 nucleotides in length. Their secondary structure includes four short double-helical elements and three loops (D, anti-codon, and T loops).
Source: RNAcentral
AGGAGUGUAGCUCAGUUGGUAGAGCGUCGGUCUCCAAAACCGAAAGUCGGGGGUUCGAGUCCCUCCACUCCUGCCA